GGAUGCGGUGGAUUUUGAUGGGUCAUUUCCGAAAAAGGUAGCCAAGUUAGUAUCAGAAGCAAUUGAGGAGAAUUUCACUGCAUGGAAGGAAGGGAAAUCAGGGAAUGUGCCUCGAAUUGUACUUGUGGUGACUAAGCUUGACUUGUUGCCCACUUCUCUAUCACCUACUAGAUUAGAGCAUUGGGUCAGACAAAGAGCGAGGGAAGGUGGUGCCGGUGUGAUUAAGAAAGUGCAUUUUGUGAGUGCAGUUAAAGAC
This 256-nucleotide unclassified non-coding RNA is filed under the name Hevea brasiliensis (rubber tree). Lineage: Eukaryota; Viridiplantae; Streptophyta; Magnoliopsida; Malpighiales; Euphorbiaceae. The record is from RNAcentral.